UACGUAGGGGGCUAGCGUUGUCCGGAAUCAUUGGGCGUAAAGAGCGUGUAGGCGGUCCGGUAAGUCCGCUGUGAAAGUCGGGGGCUCAACCCUGGGAUGCCGGUGGAUACUGUCGGGCUCGAGUCCGGAAGAGGCGAGUGGAAUUCCUGGUGUAGCGGUGAAAUGCGCAGAUAUCAGGAGGAACACCAAUGGCGAAGGCAGCUCGCUGGGACGUGACUGACGCUGAGACGCGAAAGCGUGGGGAGCAAACAGG
This 253-nucleotide ribosomal RNA is filed under the name uncultured bacterium. RNAcentral describes it as "partial 16S ribosomal RNA". It matches the Rfam family "Bacterial small subunit ribosomal RNA", at positions 524 to 776 of the family's 1533-position model. The record is from RNAcentral.